GAGUCUAGCAUGUGCGCGAGUCAUUGGGACUCUAACGAAACCUAAAGGCGCAAUGAAAGUGAAGGUCCGCCUAGCGCGGACCGAGGGAGGAUGGGUGGUCCCGCGGGACCGCCUCGCACUCCCGGGGCGUCUCGUUCUCAUCGCGAGAAGAGGCGCACCCAGAGCGUACACGCUGGGACCCGAAAGAUGGUGAACUAUGCCUGGUCAGGACGAAGUCAGGGGAAACCCUGAUGGAGGUCCGUAGCGAUUCUGACGUGCAAAUCGAUCGUCGGAACUGGGUAUAGGGGCGAAAGACUAAUCGAACCAUCUAGUAGCUGGUUCCCUCCGAAGUUUCCCUCAGGAUAGCUGGCGCUCGCUUCUCGCGAGUCUCAUUCGGUAAAGCGAAUGAUUAGAGGCAUUGGGGUCGAAACGGCCUCAACCUAUUCUCAAACUUUAAAUGGGUGAGAUCUCCGGCUUGCUUGAACUGUGAAGCCGCGAGAUAUCGGAUCAGAGUGCCAAGUGGGCCACUUUUGGUAAGCAGAACUGGCGCUGUGGGAUGAACCAAACGCAGAGUUAAAGCGCCUAAAUCGACGCUUAUGGGAUACCAUGAAAGGCGUUGGUAACUUAAGACAGCAGGACGGUGGCCAUGGAAGUCGGA
This 637-nucleotide ribosomal RNA is filed under the name Automolius sp. NLG-2014. Its description in RNAcentral is "eukaryotic LSU rRNA". It matches the Rfam family "Eukaryotic large subunit ribosomal RNA", at positions 671 to 1265 of the family's 3401-position model. Lineage: Eukaryota; Metazoa; Arthropoda; Insecta; Coleoptera; Scarabaeidae. The record is from RNAcentral.